This 1137-nucleotide ribosomal RNA is filed under the name Klebsiella pneumoniae. RNAcentral's name for it is "bacterial SSU rRNA". It matches the Rfam family "Bacterial small subunit ribosomal RNA", at positions 1 to 1125 of the family's 1533-position model. Lineage: Bacteria; Pseudomonadati; Pseudomonadota; Gammaproteobacteria; Enterobacterales; Enterobacteriaceae. The record is from RNAcentral.
ACUUAAAUUGAAGAGUUUGAUCAUGGCUCAGAUUGAACGCUGGCGGCAGGCCUAACACAUGCAAGUCGAGCGGUAGCACAGAGAGCUUGCUCUCGGGUGACGAGCGGCGGACGGGUGAGUAAUGUCUGGGAAACUGCCUGAUGGAGGGGGAUAACUACUGGAAACGGUAGCUAAUACCGCAUAAUGUCGCAAGACCAAAGUGGGGGACCUUCGGGCCUCAUGCCAUCAGAUGUGCCCAGAUGGGAUUAGCUAGUAGGUGGGGUAACGGCUCACCUAGGCGACGAUCCCUAGCUGGUCUGAGAGGAUGACCAGCCACACUGGAACUGAGACACGGUCCAGACUCCUACGGGAGGCAGCAGUGGGGAAUAUUGCACAAUGGGCGCAAGCCUGAUGCAGCCAUGCCGCGUGUGUGAAGAAGGCCUUCGGGUUGUAAAGCACUUUCAGCGGGGAGGAAGGCGAUAAGGUUAAUAACCUCAUCGAUUGACGUUACCCGCAGAAGAAGCACCGGCUAACUCCGUGCCAGCAGCCGCGGUAAUACGGAGGGUGCAAGCGUUAAUCGGAAUUACUGGGCGUAAAGCGCACGCAGGCGGUCUGUCAAGUCGGAUGUGAAAUCCCCGGGCUCAACCUGGGAACUGCAUUCGAAACUGGCAGGCUAGAGUCUUGUAGAGGGGGGUAGAAUUCCAGGUGUAGCGGUGAAAUGCGUAGAGAUCUGGAGGAAUACCGGUGGCGAAGGCGGCCCCCUGGACAAAGACUGACGCUCAGGUGCGAAAGCGUGGGGAGCAAACAGGAUUAGAUACCCUGGUAGUCCACGCCGUAAACGAUGUCGAUUUGGAGGUUGUGCCCUUGAGGCGUGGCUUCCGGAGCUAACGCGUUAAAUCGACCGCCUGGGGAGUACGGCCGCAAGGUUAAAACUCAAAUGAAUUGACGGGGGCCCGCACAAGCGGUGGAGCAUGUGGUUUAAUUCGAUGCAACGCGAAGAACCUUACCUGGUCUUGACAUCCACAGAACUUUCCAGAGAUGGAUUGGUGCCUUCGGGAACUGUGAGACAGGUGCUGCAUGGCUGUCGUCAGCUCGUGUUGUGAAAUGUUGGGUUAAGUCCCGCAACGAGCGCAACCCUUAUCCUUUGUUGCCAGCGGU